GCGUGCUCCGGGGUCGGUGUAAGUCCGAACCGGCGGUGAUAGUCCGCGACCCGCGUAUCUGCGCGGUUGACCUGGUGGAAUUCCAGGACCGACGGUGAAAGUCCGGAUGGGAGGUGGCACGG
Molecule: non-coding RNA, 122 nt
Filed under: Buchananella hordeovulneris
Lineage: Bacteria; Bacillati; Actinomycetota; Actinomycetes; Actinomycetales; Actinomycetaceae
Description: Actinomyces hordeovulneris FMN sequence
Rfam family: FMN riboswitch aptamer (RFN element)
About the family: The RFN element is a highly conserved domain that is found frequently in the 5'-untranslated regions of prokaryotic mRNAs that encode for flavin mononucleotide (FMN) biosynthesis and transport proteins. This element is a metabolite-dependent riboswitch that directly binds FMN in the absence of proteins.
Source: Rfam by way of RNAcentral